UGCCUUGUACACACCGCCCGUCACACCAUGAGAGUUUGUAACACCCAAAGUCGGUGGGGUAACCUUUUAGGAGCCAGCCGCCUAAGGUGGGACAGAUGAUUAGGGUGAAGUCGUAACAAGGUAGCCGUAGGAGAACCUGCGGCUGGAUCACCUCCUUUCUAAGGAAUUAAUCGGAAACCUACACAUUGUCGAAACUUUGUUUAGUUUUGAGA
RNAcentral lists this unclassified non-coding RNA (212 nucleotides) under Limosilactobacillus fermentum. RNAcentral's name for it is "Lactobacillus fermentum partial contains 16S ribosomal RNA and 16S-23S ribosomal RNA intergenic spacer". The stretch from base 1 to 158 matches the Rfam family "Bacterial small subunit ribosomal RNA", at positions 1377 to 1533 of the family's 1533-position model. The record is from RNAcentral. Lineage: Bacteria; Bacillati; Bacillota; Bacilli; Lactobacillales; Lactobacillaceae.